This 72-nucleotide small RNA is filed under the name Kaistella antarctica. RNAcentral describes it as "Chryseobacterium antarcticum Flavo-1 RNA". It matches the Rfam family "Flavo-1 RNA". Lineage: Bacteria; Pseudomonadati; Bacteroidota; Flavobacteriia; Flavobacteriales; Weeksellaceae. The record is from RNAcentral.
UUCUAGCCCCGAGCGAAGUGGAAAUCCUUUUUUUUCCUAAAAAAAAGAUUGCAACGAAGAGCGGGACCGAAA